Molecule: transfer RNA, 71 nt
Filed under: Coturnicops exquisitus
Lineage: Eukaryota; Metazoa; Chordata; Aves; Gruiformes; Rallidae
Description: tRNA-Asp
Source: RNAcentral
UGAGAUGUUAGUAAACUAAUUACAUAGCCUUGUCAAGACUAAGUAGCAGGUGAAAACCCAGCACAUCUCAC